This 324-nucleotide ribosomal RNA is filed under the name uncultured eukaryote. RNAcentral describes it as "partial 18S ribosomal RNA". It matches the Rfam family "Eukaryotic small subunit ribosomal RNA", at positions 1470 to 1796 of the family's 1831-position model. The record is from RNAcentral.
CCCUUAGAUGUCCUGGGCUGCACGCGCGCUACACUGAUGUGUCCAGUAAGCACCUAACCUAUUCCGAGAGGAGCGGGUAACCUUAGCAAAGCACAUCGUGAUGGGGAUAGAUUAUUGCAAUUAUUAGUCUUGAACGAGGAAUUCCUAGUAAGCACAAGUCAUCAGCUUGUGUUGAUUACGUCCCUGCCCUUUGUACACACCGUCCGUCGCUCCUACCGAUUGAAUGUUCCGGUGAGCUCUUCGGACUGCGCGGUCUGCAGUUUCUGCGUUCCGUGCGGAAAGUUGUGCAAACCUUAACAUUUAGAGGAAGGAGAAGUCGUAACA